This 167-nucleotide ribosomal RNA is filed under the name Staphylococcus aureus. RNAcentral describes it as "partial 16S ribosomal RNA". It matches the Rfam family "Bacterial small subunit ribosomal RNA", at positions 1 to 162 of the family's 1533-position model. The record is from RNAcentral. Lineage: Bacteria; Bacillati; Bacillota; Bacilli; Caryophanales; Staphylococcaceae.
UUUAUGGAGAGUUUGAUCCUGGCUCAGGAUGAACGCUGGCGGCGUGCCUAAUACAUGCAAGUCGAGCGAACGGACGAGAAGCUUGCUUUUCUGAUGUUAGCGGCGGACGGGUGAGUAACACGUGGAUAACCUACCUAUAAGACUGGGAUAACUUCGGGAAACCGGAG